This 433-nucleotide ribosomal RNA is filed under the name uncultured bacterium. RNAcentral describes it as "partial 16S ribosomal RNA". It matches the Rfam family "Bacterial small subunit ribosomal RNA", at positions 29 to 507 of the family's 1533-position model. The record is from RNAcentral.
AACGAACGCUGGCGGCAUGCCUAACACAUGCAAGUCGAACGAGACCUUCGGGUCUAGUGGCGCACGGGUGCGUAACGCGUGGGAACCUGCCCUUAGGUUCGGAAUAACUCCCCGAAAGGGGUGCUAAUACCGGAUAAUGUCUUCGGACCAAAGAUUUAUCGCCUUUGGAUGGGCCCGCGUUGGAUUAGCUAGUUGGUAGGGUAAAAGCCUACCAAGGCGACGAUCCAUAGCUGGUCUGAGAGGAUGAUCAGCCACACUGGGACUGAGACACGGCCCAGACUCCUACGGGAGGCAGCAGUGGGGAAUAUUGGACAAGGGGCGAAAGCCUGAUCCAGCAAGGCCGCGUGAGUGAUGAAGGCCUUAGGGUUGUAAAGCUCUUUUACCCGGGAUGAUAAUGACAGUACCGGGAGAAUAAGCUCCGGCUAACUCCGUG